CCUACGGGCGGCAGCAGUGGGGAAUAUUGCACAAUGGGGGAAACCCUGAUGCAGCGACGCCGCGUGAGUGAAGAAGUAAUUCGUUAUGUAAAGCCCUAUCAGCAGGGAAGAAAAUGACGGUACCUGAGUAAGAAGCCCCGGCUAACUACGUGCCAGCAGCCGCGGUAAUACGUAGGGGGCAAGCGUUAUCCGGAUUUACUGGGUGUAAAGGGCGCGUAGACGGGAGUGCAAGUCUGGAGUGAAAGGCGAGGGCUCAACCCCCGGACUGCUGUGGAAACUGUACGGCUGGAGUACGGGAGAGGUAGGUGGAAUUCCUGGUGUAGCGGUGAAAUGCGUAGAUAUCAAGAGGAACACCAAUGGCGAAGGCGGCUUACUGGACUGUAACUGACGUUGAGGCUCGAAAGCGUGGGGAGCAAACAGGAUUAGAUACCCGAGUAGUC
RNAcentral lists this ribosomal RNA (440 nucleotides) under uncultured bacterium. Its description in RNAcentral is "partial 16S ribosomal RNA". It matches the Rfam family "Bacterial small subunit ribosomal RNA", at positions 338 to 795 of the family's 1533-position model. The record is from RNAcentral.